This 277-nucleotide long non-coding RNA is filed under the name Mytilus galloprovincialis (Mediterranean mussel). Lineage: Eukaryota; Metazoa; Mollusca; Bivalvia; Mytilida; Mytilidae. The record is from RNAcentral.
CAGUGGCGUAGCUUGCAUGUAUGCUCAGAUGCUCAAGCAUCCACAUCAUUUUGACAGGGAAAAAAUAUAAAUAAAGAUAUGUUCGCAGCAGUUAAACUCGGAGGUAUCCGUAUGUAACAAGGGUUAGGAUAUGAGGAUAACAUCCAAUUAUUUCCGAUGAAGUAUGCGUGGUCUUUUAUAAAGGAUAAUUUAGUGCAUGUAAUAAAACAAGAUGGAUAAAUCGCAGAAAAGUAUUCUCUAUUUUUUUUCGUAAAAAGACUACGUCGUCGGCUACGGC